GGUAGUAAUGUGACCUACUCUAUUGUUUACAAUCAAUCGACCAAUCACAUCACAGGACACUUCUUACUGCCGAAUUGACUUCAUUCACAUCUGAAAAGGUAGAAUACAGUUUUAAAUAAUUUGAAAACUACAAUGCCUUUGAAUGGAGCAUAAUUCACAUACUAUGCGUGGAAGGUUAGAGCUAAGUUAUAUGUAAUGGUUCGAUGGUUUGGUGAGGAAGUUCAUUAUGACUGCCGCCUGGUGUGACCUUGGUUUGUUUGACSGUCAGACUUUGGAAGUUUUACUCCAGAAUCCGCUUCAAAACCKCUUUACAAAAAGAUUACAUGACCUGCCACCGACCGCGUCAAACCAUUUGUGACAAAAGGACUCAAUACUAGUGGAAUAACAGCUAAAGUUUAGGCUGGAGACAAAUAAUCCUAUGGUCCAAGAUUUUCUGGAAAAAAUUGUAGAAGUCAAAGAAGGAGUCUCUCAAUCUGUUAAUGGCUAAAAUUCAGUCAGCCACACCUUUUUUCAAGACUUCCCCCGGGAGAUGGCGUUCAUGAAAACAUUUUCAAAGUUCAUAUAUCUA
Long non-coding RNA from Exaiptasia diaphana, 568 nucleotides. RefSeq lists it as uncharacterized. The record is from RefSeq and is a predicted model, not a curated record. Lineage: Eukaryota; Metazoa; Cnidaria; Anthozoa; Actiniaria; Aiptasiidae. The transcript has 3 exons.